GCAAGUCGAGCGAAUGGAUUAAGAGCUUGCUCUUAUGAAGUUAGCGGCGGACGGGUGAGUAACACGUGGGUAACCUGCCCAUAAGACUGGGAUAACUCCGGGAAACCGGGGCUAAUACCGGAUAACAUUUUGAACUGCAUGGUUCGAAAUUGAAAGGCGGCUUCGGCUGUCACUUAUGGAUGGACCCGCGUCGCAUUAGCUAGUUGGUGAGGUAACGGCUCACCAAGGCAACGAUGCGUAGCCGACCUGAGAGGGUGAUCGGCCACACUGGGACUGAGACACGGCCCAGACUCCUACGGGAGGCAGCAGUAGGGAAUCUUCCGCAAUGGACGAAAGUCUGACGGAGCAACGCCGCGUGAGUGAUGAAGGCUUUCGGGUCGUAAAACUCUGUUGUUAGGGAAGAACAAGUGCUAGUUGAAUAAGCUGGCACCUUGACGGUACCUAACCAGAAAGCCACGGCUAACUACGUGCCAGCAGCCGCGGUAAUACGUAGGUGGCAAGCGUUAUCCGGAAUUAUUGGGCGUAAAGCGCGCGCAGGUGGUUUCUUAAGUCUGAUGUGAAAGCCCACGGCUCAACCGUGGAGGGUCAUUGGAAACUGGGAGACUUGAGUGCAGAAGAGGAAAGUGGAAUUCCAUGUGUAGCGGUGAAAUGCGUAGAGAUUAUGGAGGAACACCAGUGGCGAAGGCGACUUUCUGGUCUGUAACUGACACUGAGGCGCGAAAGCGUGGG
RNAcentral lists this ribosomal RNA (729 nucleotides) under Bacillus cereus. RNAcentral's name for it is "bacterial SSU rRNA". It matches the Rfam family "Bacterial small subunit ribosomal RNA", at positions 57 to 765 of the family's 1533-position model. Lineage: Bacteria; Bacillati; Bacillota; Bacilli; Caryophanales; Bacillaceae. The record is from RNAcentral.